CUCAGGUGCUAGCCCACAUAUGGGUGCGAAUGAGAACACACGCGGCGUGGGCGCGCUCGGGGUCAACGGCAGUGGAGAGGAACCGAUCCAGCACCUCUCCUUCCCGGCGAAGCAAACACUUCCCUCCAGAACUCCCUGCAGCCGCAGCAAGUUCCACGGCACCCCCUGCAGGACCGGGCUCCCCUCCAGUAGGACUUCGUGAUCCCUUUCAGGGGGGCCUACAAUUCCCUCUUGGGGAAAACCUGUACCUGCCUCCACGUAAGACCUCCUCGCUUCCACAUCCACUCUCAUUCCCUGGGGGACCUAACCAUUCCCGUGGCUUUCAGCAGCUGUCUAUAUCAAAUGUCUAUCUCCAGCCCAGACCUCUCUCCUGAAUUCCAGACUACAGCCGACUCUGUCUAAUAGACAUCUCAAUCCUAAUACAUCCAAACCCUGAAUUCCUGAUCUCUUCAAAGGCUGCUCCUCACACAGCCUUCCCCAUCGCAGUCGAUGACAAUCCCAUGCUUCUAGUUGCUCAGAUCAAAAUCCUGGAGUCCCUCUUGAGUCCUUUCUCUUAUCAUUCCACGUCUAGUCCAUCAGGAGAUCCUGUUGGCACUGCCUUCAGGCGAAUCCAGAACCUGACCACUUCUCAGUUCCUCCACUGCCACCGCCCGGGGCUGAGCCAACAUCCUUCACCCAGGUUUCUCCAGUAGCUGGUCCCCUGGCCUACCUUCCCUCUCCCCUCCUUUGGUAUUUUCUCAGUACAGCAGUUGGAGUAACCCAUUUAAAACAUCACAUCACAGCUAUCCUCUGCUCAAAACCCUCCGUGGUUACCCAUUUCACUUAGUAAAAGCCAUGGUCCUUGUGGUGACCACAGGAAUGGCCGAGUACAAAUCCUCUUACAUCAUCUCCUACUUCUGUCCCCCUCACUCGGGAUACAUUAGCCUCUUGGCCGGGCCCCAGACAGUCCCGAAAUGACUCCCCAACACACCACACAUUGUAAGCCCUUUGCUCUAGCUAUUCCCACUGCCUGGAACACAAACGCCCUCGGCUCCUUCAAAGCUUUCCACAAAUCUCACCUGUUCAAUGAGGCUCACCAGGACCUCAUCCUGAUUCAUCCUGACGGACCCCCACAGCACUCCCAAUCUCCCCUUACUCUUAUUGAAUCCCUGCCUAACAUAGUAUAUAGUUUACUUAUUCAUUAACUUUUUUGUUUAUUGUCUGUAUCCCCCCCCACUAAAAUGUAACCCCCAUGAAGACAGGAAGUCAUCUAUUUUGUUCACCAGUGCCUGGAGCAGUGUCUGGCAGAUAGUAAGUACAUAAUAUGUGUUGAAUGAAAUGAAUGAGUGCCUGAGCACUUUCAGGAGUGUUGCAAUUCCCCCUAUCAAAAUGCAUCUUGUUGGUCCCUUAGUUGAUACCUGAAACCGUACCACUCCUGUUUCCUUCCUUUAUCCAGUGGUUCUGGCCCCAGUUUAAAAUGCAAGUGCCCCUGGGAGAGGUAUUAAGCUGUAUCAGUCAUCUUCAUUCUAAUGUGAAUAGUGAUCUCAAUUUUGUUGGUUACAAGAGAAAUCUGGCCUCUUUGCCAUUCUGGUGUGUUCAUACUCAAUUUUCAACCUAAUAGAGAAAAUUAGAAAUGACACAAAUUCAAAUAUUUCUCAUUUACUUUAGGAUGCAUUAUAGGCCUGUGUUUCAGAGGCUGCUGUAGCUGAUAAUUUGUUUAAAUGAAUACUAAAAUUGGUUUGCAUCCCCUUUACACACAAGUGCAGGAAUAAUAAUAAUAGCUAACACUAUUGAGUGCUCUGUGCCAGGUACUGUGACAGGCAUUUUACAGCCUUUAUCUUAUUUAAUCCUCAUUGCAACUCAAUAAGCUAUGUGUUAUUGUCAUUAUUAUCCCCAUUUUAUAGAUAUGGAAACUGAGACUUUGAGACUUAAAUUACAAUGUCCAGGGUCACCCAGGUGAGUAACUGUGGAGCCUGGACUUAGCCCAGGCGUAUCUGACACCAAACUCAGGCUCUACCAUUAUCUUACUCCUUCUUCUGAAGGGUGACGUGUGGGUGAGCUGGUGGGGGCAGGGCUGCAGGGAGAUGAACAGUGUGAAAUGAUUGCAAAAUAUGCUGUAGAUAAUUCACAAAGAGCCAAGUCACUGGGAACAGAGUGUAUGUGUGUUAGGGGGUCACGUGCAGGAUUGAUAGCCCAGCUUUUCUAAAGGUAGGCACUGUAUAAAUCUAGCAAGUAAAUAUUACCUUCAUGCUUCUUUAGUUUCAUUUUUCACUUCUCUUUUCAGCUGUGAAAUGUGUUCUUUCCUUUCCAGAAAAAGGUAUUUCCUAAAUAUUUGGUCUUGCAGUAUACGCCCAUAUCCCAGCUUUUAACUUGGAACACAGCCCUGGGUGUGCUCUUUCGAGUGGCCAAGUGGAGCCUGGUGGAAACAAGAGCUGGGCAGAGUUGUCAAGUAUGGCAGGACACUUCCAGUCAUGUCUUCAU
This is a long non-coding RNA of Cercocebus atys (sooty mangabey), 2460 nucleotides long. RefSeq lists it as uncharacterized. Lineage: Eukaryota; Metazoa; Chordata; Mammalia; Primates; Cercopithecidae. The record is from RefSeq and is a predicted model, not a curated record. The transcript is spliced from 3 exons.